ACUAUCUGAGCCAAAAAAAACGUUUAUAUCAUUGACCAUCCAUAUGGUUUUGGACUUCAAGUUGAUGAUCAGUUGAAGGUUACAGUUACGGUAUUUCUGACUCACGUCCCUAGUAGAUUCCAGUUACACUCUCAUCAGAAGAUUCCACUUCUUAAUCAAUUCCUGGUAAAACCAACUGUUUGGAUAAAAACGAGUGUGGUGUAGAUAAUGUGUAUUUUUUUUUACUUGUAAACUACAAAUCUUAUUGAUAUCAUAUUAUUGUUUGAUUGUUAUUCUUGUUCAGAUUAAUACUGAUCAUCGAAGUUGACUAUUUAUAUUUAAUGAUUAAAUUUUGUUGUAAUAAACUUGGAAUUUGAGUACAGAUUUUUUGAUGGAAUGAGUCAAUGAUUUUUUUUCUUCUAAAUUUGCAUAAACGGGGAAUUAGGAAGGUAAGCGAAUAGGAAAAUGGGCAAAAUGGAUCUUCAAGAUUGGGGCAUUUGUUUUCUUGUCAUCAAACUUGUAGCCUGCGGGAAAAAGAAGCAUCAAAUUUGGGCACACCCAAUCAAAGUUCUUUAAGUUGGCAAAUUAUAUGGCGUUCAAUAUUUCAAAGUGAUUUAAAUCGCACCUUGAAGAGCAUCAAGAGCAAUUGUCGCACAUUUCGCAUCCUCAAAUUCCACAAAGCACAAGACACGGGCCUUAUCUUCACUCUGCAAAGAAAAGAAAAACAUCCCCAUAAACAUUAGCAUUCUAUUCAUACCUCUGACAUUUAUAUAUUUGUUCUUCCUCUACCUUCACUCUCCUCCAUAAAUCGAAAAUAAAUUCUGUAAAAAAUAAUUUCCACGAAUCAUGCUGGAAAUCCAGCGAUCCAGCAUUUAAUUAUUUCAUUGGGUGCAAGACUGAUUUCAGUCAACUGAUUGUACCUCCUUCAAAUAAUGAAUUAUGAUUCUUUAUGAAGUUUCAUAUUACUAAUUAUUGCCAUCUUGCAGAAAUGGACAUGAUCAUUACUGAAAUAAAGUCAUAAUGGCAUAAUUCAAUAUGAAAGAUAUACACAUGAGGAGAAAAAACUGCUAUAUCUCCAGAGAUUAUCUUCAAUUAAUGCACGAGUUGAUUCGACAACCAUGAUGCAUGAUAAAUGGUACCAUAUUGAGAAAACAUCAUUGACAUGAUUUCAUAUCAGCACAUUGUCAUCAAAUAUGCAAAAUUGAGGAAAAUUCCAGUCGAAUACUUUUGGAUAUAUGUAUUAUGAAUAUUGUUAUUGGAUUAUAUUAUAUUAGGUGAAUAAAAAAAAUACAUUUAAAAAAUGCAUAUGCAUAAUUUGCAUCUAUGUACGACUAUGCAUUGUCACUUACAUACACACGCAGGAAACCAUGCUCACUGAAAGGAAUCAAUAGAAUUUUAGCGAGAAAAAUUCUUCCUGAUAAGUGCAGAAAUUUGAAGCGUGUACCAGGGGAUAAGGUUGGGAAUGUUUCCAACAAAAGAUGUGGAAAUUUGGGUGAAGAUGGCAUAGAUCAGGAGAUCCUCCAAGCAACAGUCAGUCUAAACAGAUCUCGGCUCAGAUCUGAGACUGGAUUGUAUUAGAGUACAUAUAUAAUUAAAUGGUAAGACGUACAAAAAUAAACUUAAUGUUGUCAUCCCCCAUUCCCCCUUUAUAGUAGAGAGCUUGACAAUUUCAAACUAUUAACUGUACCAUUAUGAUCCAAUUAAGAUUUAUCCUCUUCAGAUGAACUAAUAUCUCAGGUUAAGGAAUACCAUCACAAUGUGGGGUCGCUUCAAUAAAAUAGUAAUAGACGCUCACGAGGCCGGAGAUCCGAAUUGCGGUAAACAAUGAAUAAGAUGGUGUCUCAUUAACUGGUGCGCUGGGAUGGCAAUAAAUAAGAUGCUCUAUACCUCCAAUAUAUUUCCAGAUAUCAAACAAUGGCAGAGAAACCAGACCAGUAUGACACUGCCUUGCUUAUAAAAAUAUUGAAUACAAUGUAACGGGGAUCAUCUUUGAUCAAACUUUGCACUAAGCUACCAUGGAUUCUUUUACAACCCAAGUCAUAUCAAGAUUUACAUUUCAAUCUUGUGCACUUUUAGUUUGAACCCACAAUAUUAAGGGGGGCAUGUUAGUAUUAAGUUUAAACAGCAUUACUUAUUUGUUACUUGUAUAUAAGAUUAUAAUUAGGCACAAUUCUGUUACUCUCCACUAUCUAAGGUAAUAGAGAGUGGAGACUUGUAUUAUAUAUACCCAAUUAGGUAAUGAAUAAGAUACAAUAUUAAUUUCCAAUUCUAUAAUUUUCAUAUCUUAUUCAUUACCCAAUUCUAGAGUUCUCAUAAUCACCAGUCUGUUACACACUAACAAUUAUAAUGAUGGUUUUUCAAAUUGACUAAAUUUUCUAUAGUAAAUUUAUAAAAUUUUAUGUUUUCCAAAACAGUGUGUUCAGUUCACUAAUUUGGAAAUCUAUGAAGUAAAUCAUUUGUAUGCAUUUGUAAUGAUUGAGGAUGACAACAUGAUAAAAUAAA
This 2481-nucleotide long non-coding RNA is filed under the name Zostera marina. Its description in RNAcentral is "long non-coding RNA (ZMAR_LNC001944)". Lineage: Eukaryota; Viridiplantae; Streptophyta; Magnoliopsida; Alismatales; Zosteraceae. The record is from RNAcentral.